RNAcentral lists this transfer RNA (65 nucleotides) under Cavitermes parmae. RNAcentral's name for it is "tRNA-Arg". The record is from RNAcentral. Lineage: Eukaryota; Metazoa; Arthropoda; Insecta; Blattodea; Termitidae.
AAGUGAGAAGCAAAUAUUGCAAUCAGUUUCGACCUGAUCCUAGAUAAACUCUUUAUCCUUACUUU